This 86-nucleotide small nucleolar RNA is filed under the name Capsicum annuum. Lineage: Eukaryota; Viridiplantae; Streptophyta; Magnoliopsida; Solanales; Solanaceae. The record is from RNAcentral.
UGCAAUUAAUGAUGUUUUUUUUUUUCAUAAUUACUGAUUGAACAGUGAUUAAUAUAAAAUAUCACCAUCUUUCGGCUGAGAUUGCA